Molecule: ribosomal RNA, 301 nt
Filed under: uncultured bacterium
Lineage: Bacteria
Description: partial 16S ribosomal RNA
Rfam family: Bacterial small subunit ribosomal RNA
Source: RNAcentral
CAGCCGCCGCGGUAAUACGAAGGGGGCUAGCGUUGCUCGGAAUGACUGGGCGUAAAGCGUGCGCAGGCGGUCCGCUAAGACAGAUGUGAAAUCCCCGGGCUUAACCUGGGAACUGCAUUUGUGACUGGCGGGCUAGAGUAUGGCAGAGGGGGGUAGAAUUCCACGUGUAGCAGUGAAAUGCGUAGGGAUGUGGAGGAAUACCGAUGGCGAAGGCAGCCCCCUGGGCCAAUACUGACGCUCAUGCACGAAAGCGUGGGGAGCAAACAGGAUUAGAUACCCCUGUAGUCCCUGUCUCUUAUAC